UAGUCUCGCCGCCACAAGGUGGCCCUGCUGCGCACACAAGGAGUAUAUGGGUCAAGGUUUAGCAUGGUACUGGAGCAGCUCGGUUUAGGGCCAAGGUUAGGGGGAAUUCGAUGGGGAAACAGACUUCAACACAACACUGGCUGACAGAUGUUGACGUUAGAAGUCGGGCUAACCAAGCCGUGGAUGUAACUUACCAAAGCUGCUGGAAACAGGCCUCAUCCAACCUUACACCAUUGAUGUAGACUUCGUGCCCUCAGGCAGCCCACUGCAGGUGCAGGUCUUGUCAUCAGAAAGGAAGACAACAGGAAACGGGCUUUGAAGCCGCUCUCUCCGGUGAGUCCUGUGGGCCCUUCAGGCAGUGUGCACUUUGACACAGGACAAGCUUGUAGUCUGUCACUUCCAAACUCCUGCAGGCCAGGUCAGACAUCAGCCAACAGAGGUGCCGAGGAAGGUGAUGAAAGAGGAGGAAAAUGGAGGGAAAAUAAACUGAAGAAAGUGCUCAGAGACCCGUCAGACUCCCCCCCCCACAGUGUGUUGAUAUAUUGGCCUAACCUUUAUGGCUAGAUUUCUCACUCUCUGUCUCACUGCUAUGCCCUCAUUAUGGUGCUUGGACUGGUGUCUGGAUUGUCAGCCAUGGACAGAUUUUUGUACAGACUAAUACAAUCUUAAAACUCAAAUCUUUGUGAAACCAUACACCAAGUGGUGAAAACCAGGUGCUGAUUGGGUCCUCUCCUGUUGGCUGGCCUUUGUUGCCAGGCACUGUCACUCUGUAUGGAGUACAACCAACAAGUUCUCAUACGUACCUAAAUAACAGGUACAUAAACAAUAAACUAACUAUGUUAUGUUCAAAGGACUAUAAACUGUACCUAAAACAAUUGUUUUCUGAUAUGCUGCCCCUAUGGUUAAAUUUUAAGUUGCGGUAGCUAAAACUACUUCAUUAAAGAGUAACUAAACUCCCAAACCACUUUUUCAGUUGAAAACCAAUGUAUAUGGGUACUUAGUAUUGUUGUUAAUGGAUUCAGAUCCAAAUCUUGACAUUUUAGUGCAAGUAUUUCAAUUGUACAUAUUGUGUUAUAAAUAUGAAUAGCGACUGCUGUCUAUAGUUUGAAACCUGGCUAUUGCAAUUGAAUUUUGCUAUCGGUUGAUCUGGAGGCAGGUGAUGUAUAUGGAGGCAGCUUUUGUCAUAUAAAUUAUAUUUCCUGGCUGCAAAGUUUACUCUAUUUUUGCUAACCCUCUACUUAGUAUUUUUCUAUUUUGGCGCAAUGGUUUGGACUUGUGCUUUUAAUGACUGUAGAAGCACCACCAGACUGCAUUCUUUCCCUUGAUGAAUUUGAUAAACAGCAGGGCUAUGGCUACGUACUGACACUCUCCCACAGACACACACACCGUUAGCUCAGCUACAACACUGGUCCCACACAGAAACAUUUAUAAAGGUCCGUCAACGUGCUUCUAGUGACUGUCAAAGCUUCAAUGGAGUCUCUGUGUUUCCAGCGUGGACAUGCAGAGGCUGACAGCAACUGCUUAUGGCUGGUUAGUGCCGCCGCGCUGAGUACCAGCUCUAUGGCUAGCUGCGGUGGUCAGUCUGU
Long non-coding RNA from Siniperca chuatsi (mandarin fish), 1586 nucleotides. RefSeq lists it as uncharacterized. The transcript is spliced from 4 exons. The record is from RefSeq and is a predicted model, not a curated record. Lineage: Eukaryota; Metazoa; Chordata; Actinopteri; Centrarchiformes; Sinipercidae.